GAGGCGGAGCCGAGCCUGUCUGUCGGUUGCAGCCUGCGCAGGAAGGAUGACGCUCCCGUCAGGCUGUGCGGCGCAGACGGUCGCCCAAUGGAGUUGUCUUUCAGGAGGUUUUAACUUGAUGGUGUGUCCGGAAUUGGUGGGUUCUUGGUCUCACUGACUUCAAGAAUGAAGCCGCGGACCCUCAAGGUGUUACAGCUCUUAAGGUUGCGCGUCUGGAGUUUGUUCCUUCUGAUGUUCGGAUGUGUUUGGAGUUUCUUCCUUCUGGUGGGUUCGUAGUCUCGCUGGCUCAGGAGUGAAGCUGCAGACCUUCACGGUUAAGAUGAAAGAUCUCAGAAGCUGCAGAAGUGCUUAGAUGCACCCACAGAAAACCACCGGAUCCAGCUAACUCACUCUUGUGAUUGGAAAGAAGCAUAUUCUGGUGAAGCAAAAGAUUUCUAUCUCCAGAAUAAUGCAGAAAGCAUUUUUACCUACCAAGCCACAACAAACCAGUGAAAGAACAUUUAGAUUUCCAGAGUCCAUCGGCAAUACAAAAGUCACCUAAAGAAUAAUGCCAGAGGCAUAUCUUCUCUUGUAGGUUGUAAAUUCCUUGAAAACGAGAACUGCUCAACUUCCCAUCUCCUACGACACCCAGCACACAGUUGAUGCUGGAAUUUCUUUUUAAUGAAUGAAACACACAAAUCAUUGCUUUAAACCCUGGAAUUGUGCCCUUUUCAAAAGAAGCACUUAAUAGACAUGUGUCUAAUUUCCUGUGCUGUCACAAAUAUUAUUUAAUCACACUGUUAAAAAUAAAGAACUCUGGGGCCCAUGAACUACAUUCUCCAGGCCAUUAGCUGCUCUUUCCACUUUGGGCCUCUCAGCUGUGCAGCCGGAAAUGGAUCGUGGGGAGAGGAGCUGCCACUCUUCUGCAAAUAUCCUGGAAUCUUGGCUAUGUCAGGAAGUGUUUGGAGAAUGCCUUGGAAGCUGAGAAAGUGUUUCCAAAGCAGCAUGCACACGAAGAUAUUUGAACCAGAGAACGUCCACUCUGAAAUAGAUGCAUGGAGUGCAUUCACAGAAUAUCACGUUUUUCUGAAGUUUAAAAGCUACAGCCCAGUACUCUGAACCCAAGAAUUAAGAGAGUUAAGAGAGCAAAUCAAGACAUGAAAAUGAUCCCCCCGUGGAAUAUGCCCCUGCUAUUGAGAGAAUAAACUACUGAUCUACGCAACAGCAUGGAUGAAUCUCAGAGACAUUUUGCUAACUGAGAGAAGUCAGACACAGAAGACAUAGUCAAUGAUUCCAUGUGUAUGAAAUUUCUAGAAAAGGCAAAACUAUAGAGACAGAAUGGCUGAUCAAUGUUGUGGCUGAUCAAAUCGAGGCACAGAAUGAUCAAUGGUUGCCUGGAGCUGCGGGUGGGAACAGGAGUGACCUCAAAGGAGCAAGGGGAACUUUUGGGGGUGGAUGGGAAUAUUGGGAAACUGGACUGUGAUGGUUGCUAAGUGCGUCAGUUCACGGAAACCUAUCACACUGUACCCUCACAAUGAGUGACGUUUAUGGUUUGUAAGUUAGACCUCAAUAAAGCUGUUUGUAAUCAUUUUA
Homo sapiens (human) is the source of this 1572-nucleotide long non-coding RNA. NCBI's taxonomy places the organism in Eukaryota, Metazoa, Chordata, Mammalia, Primates, Hominidae. The record is from Ensembl.